Molecule: ribosomal RNA, 420 nt
Filed under: uncultured bacterium
Lineage: Bacteria
Description: partial 16S ribosomal RNA
Rfam family: Bacterial small subunit ribosomal RNA
Source: RNAcentral
UGGGGAAUUUUGGACAAUGGGCGAAAGCCUGAUCCAGCAAUGCCGCGUGUGUGAAGAAGGCCUUCGGGUUGUAAAGCACUUUUGUCCGGAAAGAAAUCCUUGGCUCUAAUACAGUCGGGGGAUGACGGUACCGGAAGAAUAAGCACCGGCUAACUACGUGCCAGCAGCCGCGGUAAUACGUAGGGUGCAAGCGUUAAUCGGAAUUACUGGGCGUAAAGCGUGCGCAGGCGGUUUGCUAAGACCGAUGUGAAAUCCCCGGGCUCAACCUGGGAACUGCAUUGGUGACUGGCAGGCUAGAGUAUGGCAGAGGGGGGUAGAAUUCCACGUGUGAGCAGUGAAAUGCGUAGAGAUGUGGAGGAAUACCGAUGGCGAAGGCAGCCCCCUGGGCCAAUACUGACGCUCAUGCACGAAAGCGUGGGG